UACCAGCAUCCCGAGUGGUCGGGACGUUUAUUGGUCCUAAAGCAUCCGUAGCCGGUUCUACAAGUCUUCCGUUAAAUCCAGCUGCUUAACAGAUGGGCUGCGGAAGAUACUAUGGAGCUAGGAGGCGGGAGAGGCAAGCGGUACUCGAUGGGUAGGGGUAAAAUCCGUUAAUCCAGUGAAGACCACCAGUGGCGAAGGCGGCUAUCUGGACGGUUUCUGACGCUAAGACGCGAAAGCGUGGGGAGCAAACAGG
Molecule: ribosomal RNA, 253 nt
Filed under: uncultured bacterium
Lineage: Bacteria
Description: partial 16S ribosomal RNA
Rfam family: Archaeal small subunit ribosomal RNA
Source: RNAcentral